UACGUAGGGUCCGAGCGUUGUCCGGAAUUACUGGGCGUAAAGCGCUCGUAGGUGGUUUGUCGCGUUGUUCGUGAAAACUCACAGCUCAACUGUGGGCGUGCGGGCGAUACGGGCAGACUUGAGUACUGCAGGGGAGACUGGAAUUCCUGGUGUAGCGGUGGAAUGCGCAGAUAUCGGGAAGAACACCCGUGGCGAAGGCGACCUUCUGGGCCGCAACUGACGCUGAGGCACGAAAGCGUGGGGAGCAAACGGG
Molecule: ribosomal RNA, 253 nt
Filed under: uncultured bacterium
Lineage: Bacteria
Description: partial 16S ribosomal RNA
Rfam family: Bacterial small subunit ribosomal RNA
Source: RNAcentral